UUGACGGAUAAGUGACGAGUAUUUUUUAAUAAACUUGUGAAAGAGAGUUUUGAUGGUCAAUAUAAUGGAACAUUUAAAAUGCUGGUCAAUUUAAUGGAGGUUGGUUUUAUCAGCGUUGGCGGCUAGACGAAUUUUGGUAGUGCACGCGAUCAAACUAAUGACACCAAAUGCGUGUAGUCGAGGUAUCAUGAUAGUACUAUACAUGUGUCAGAAUGUGAUUUUCAUAUAUUGAAGGAGAGGAGGCAAACUUAAUUAAUCUGAUGACUGACAAGAACAUACCUAGCUAGCAUUGUAUUUUGUAUUAGUAUUGUUGUUGUGUCAUCAUCCAUAUUAAAUCUAGUUUGCUUGUAUCUAUAUGUUGUUGGCAAAUUAAAAGAAACAAGAAGUCGAAUAAUUAAUAAUGUAUUAGAUUAAGCAACGUUAAUUAUAAAGUAAUCGAACAUCAUAGAGCUAUGAUUUGAUUAUAUCUUGACAGAUGGUACAUAUUUUUCGGUUGCAUCAACUUGUAAUGAAUUCAACAAUUCAAAUACGAAGACGGAACACCCAAUGCAAACAUAAUAUCACAUAAAAUGAAAAAAAAAAAAAAAAAAAACCAAUUAACCGGAGAAA
Molecule: long non-coding RNA, 609 nt
Organism: Arabidopsis lyrata subsp. lyrata
Lineage: Eukaryota; Viridiplantae; Streptophyta; Magnoliopsida; Brassicales; Brassicaceae
Exons: 2
Source: RefSeq, a predicted model, not a curated record